RNAcentral lists this ribosomal RNA (1517 nucleotides) under Ruminococcus sp. KGMB03662. RNAcentral's name for it is "bacterial SSU rRNA". It matches the Rfam family "Bacterial small subunit ribosomal RNA". Lineage: Bacteria; Bacillati; Bacillota; Clostridia; Eubacteriales; Oscillospiraceae. The record is from RNAcentral.
UUUAAUUAAGAGUUUGAUCCUGGCUCAGGACGAACGCUGGCGGCACGCUUAACACAUGCAAGUCGAACGAGAGAAGAGAAGCUUGCUUUUCUGAUCUAGUGGCGGACGGGUGAGUAACACGUGAGCAAUCUGCCUUUCAGAGGGGGAUACCGAUUGGAAACGAUCGUUAAUACCGCAUAACAUAAUUGAACCGCAUGAUUUGAUUAUCAAAGAUUUAUCGCUGAAAGAUGAGCUCGCGUCUGAUUAGCUAGUUGGUAAGGUAACGGCUUACCAAGGCGACGAUCAGUAGCCGGACUGAGAGGUUGAUCGGCCACAUUGGGACUGAGACACGGCCCAGACUCCUACGGGAGGCAGCAGUGGGGAAUAUUGCACAAUGGAGGAAACUCUGAUGCAGCGAUGCCGCGUGAGGGAAGAAGGUUUUAGGAUUGUAAACCUCUGUCUUCAGGGACGAAAAAUGACGGUACCUGAGGAGGAAGCUCCGGCUAACUACGUGCCAGCAGCCGCGGUAAUACGUAGGGAGCGAGCGUUGUCCGGAAUUACUGGGUGUAAAGGGAGCGUAGGCGGGAUCGCAAGUCAGAUGUGAAAACUAUGGGCUUAACCCAUAAACUGCAUUUGAAACUGUGGUUCUUGAGUGAAGUAGAGGUAAGCGGAAUUCCUAGUGUAGCGGUGAAAUGCGUAGAUAUUAGGAGGAACAUCAGUGGCGAAGGCGGCUUACUGGGCUUUAACUGACGCUGAGGCUCGAAAGCGUGGGGAGCAAACAGGAUUAGAUACCCUGGUAGUCCACGCCGUAAACGAUGAUUACUAGGUGUGGGGGGACUGACCCCUUCCGUGCCGCAGCAAACGCAAUAAGUAAUCCACCUGGGGAGUACGACCGCAAGGUUGAAACUCAAAGGAAUUGACGGGGGCCCGCACAAGCAGUGGAGUAUGUGGAUUAAUUCGAAGCAACGCGAAGAACCUUACCAGGUCUUGACAUCGUAUGCAUAGCUCAGAGAUGAGUGAAAUCUCUUCGGAGACAUAUAGACAGGUGGUGCAUGGUUGUCGUCAGCUCGUGUCGUGAGAUGUUGGGUUAAGUCCCGCAACGAGCGCAACCCUUACUGUUAGUUGCUACGCAAGAGCACUCUAGCAGGACUGCCGUUGACAAAACGGAGGAAGGUGGGGAUGACGUCAAAUCAUCAUGCCCCUUAUGACCUGGGCCUCACACGUACUACAAUGGCUGUCAACAGAGGGAUGCAAAGCCGCGAGGUAGAGCGAACCCCUAAAAGCAGUCUUAGUUCGGAUUGUAGGCUGCAACCCGCCUACAUGAAGUCGGAAUUGCUAGUAAUCGCAGAUCAGCAUGCUGCGGUGAAUACGUUCCCGGGCCUUGUACACACCGCCCGUCACGCCAUGGGAGUCGGUAACACCCGAAGCCUGUAGUCUAACCGCAAGGAGGACUGCAGUCGAAGGUGGGAUUGAUGACUGGGGUGAAGUCGUAACAAGGUAGCCGUAUCGGAAGGUGCGGCUGGAUCACCUCCUUUCUA